AUUGAACGCUGGCGGCGUGCCUAACACAUGCAAGUCGAGCGGUAACAGGUGUAGCAAUACAUGCUGACGAGCGGCGAACGGGUGAGUAAUGCUUCGGAAUCUGCCCAUGUAGUGGGGAAUAACCAGCCGAAAGGUUGGCUAAUACCGCAUACGACCUACGGGUGAAAGCAGGGGAUCGCAAGACCUUGCGCUAUUGGAUGAGCCGAAGUCGGAUUAGCAGUUGGUAGGGUAACGGCCUACCAAGGCGACGAUCCGUAGCUGGUCUGAGAGGACGACCAGCCACACUGGGACUGAGACACGGCCCAGACUCCUACGGGAGGCAGCAGUGGGAAUAUUGGACAAUGGGGCAACCCUGAUCCAGCGACGCCGCGUG
Molecule: ribosomal RNA, 373 nt
Filed under: uncultured bacterium
Lineage: Bacteria
Description: bacterial SSU rRNA
Rfam family: Bacterial small subunit ribosomal RNA
Source: RNAcentral